Molecule: ribosomal RNA, 495 nt
Filed under: uncultured bacterium
Lineage: Bacteria
Description: partial 16S ribosomal RNA
Rfam family: Bacterial small subunit ribosomal RNA
Source: RNAcentral
GACGAACGCUGGCGGCGUGCCUAAUACAUGCAAGUUGAGCGCUGAAGGUUGGUACUUGUACCAACUGGAUGAGCAGCGAACGGGUGAGUAACGCGUGGGGAAUCUGCCUUUGAGCGGGGGACAACAUUUGGAAACGAAUGCUAAUACCGCAUAAAAACUUUAAACACAAGUUUUAAGUUUGAAAGAUGCAAUUGCAUCACUCAAAGAUGAUCCCGCGUUGUAUUAGCUAGUUGGUGAGGUAAAGGCUCACCAAGGCGAUGAUACAUAGCCGACCUAAGAGGGUGAUCGGCCACAUUGGGACUGAGACACGGCCCAAACUCCUACGGGAGGCAGCAGUAGGGAAUCUUCGGCAAUGGACGAAAGUCUGACCGAGCAACGCCGCGUGAGUGAAGAAGGUUUUCGGAUCGUAAAACUCUGUUGGUAGAGAAGAACGUUGGUGAGAGUGGAAAGCUCAUCAAGUGACGGUAACUACCCAGAAAGGGACGGCUAACUACG